GAUCAAGAAAGAAAGAAAUCGGAUUUAGAUCGGGGGAAAUCGAAAGUUGACGAGUAGUCGAUCCGAUCUGUUCAUAGUAUAUACGAGAUUAUCGAAGCUAGUUUGGACUCGAGAAUCAUCGGGAAACGUCUUCACACUAUCGAUCAUUUUGUUGGUACUUUUGAAGCUUUGUAUAUAUGGUAUAUGACAUGUAUAGGCUAAUGAACUUUUGGUAUGUUUUGAAUUGUAAUUCUAGCCAUGUGAGUUGGCUUGAAAAUGAUAUAUCUUGUGUGAUGGAUGGGAGCAAUUCGGUUUGUGUGAUGAUAAGAUGCUGUCUAAAUUGGUGCUUAA
Molecule: long non-coding RNA, 330 nt
Organism: Gossypium raimondii (Peruvian cotton)
Lineage: Eukaryota; Viridiplantae; Streptophyta; Magnoliopsida; Malvales; Malvaceae
Exons: 2
Source: RefSeq, a predicted model, not a curated record